RNAcentral lists this small RNA (78 nucleotides) under bacteria symbiont BFo1 of Frankliniella occidentalis. RNAcentral's name for it is "isrK". It matches the Rfam family "isrK Hfq binding RNA". Lineage: Bacteria; Pseudomonadati; Pseudomonadota; Gammaproteobacteria; Enterobacterales; Erwiniaceae. The record is from RNAcentral.
GCUGUCGCAAAAUCGGCAGCCGGGCGUAGGAACCCGAGUAAUCUAACGGCGACACAACACGCGCCCUGCGUGUUUUUU